RNAcentral lists this unclassified non-coding RNA (520 nucleotides) under uncultured Glomus. Its description in RNAcentral is "SSU rRNA". It matches the Rfam family "Eukaryotic small subunit ribosomal RNA", at positions 569 to 1092 of the family's 1831-position model. Lineage: Eukaryota; Fungi; Glomeromycota; Glomeromycetes; Glomerales; Glomeraceae. The record is from RNAcentral.
AGCAGCCGCGGUAAUUCCAGCUCCAAUAGCGUAUAUUAAAGUUGUUGCAGUUAAAAAGCUCGUAGUUGAAUUUCGGGGUUAGUAGGUUGGUCAUGCCUCUGGUAUGUACUGGUCUCACUGAUUCCUCCUUCCUGAUGAACCUUAAUGCCAUUUAUUUGGUGUUUUGGGGAAUUUGGACUGUUACUUUGAAAAAUUAGAGUGUUUAAAGCAAGCUAACGCUUGGAUACAUUAGCAUGGAAUAAUGAAAUAGGACGUUCGAUCCUAUUUUGUUGGUUUCUAGGAUUGACGUAAUGAUUAAUAGGGAUAGUUGGGGGCAUUAGUAUUCAAUUGUCAGAGGUGAAAUUCUUGGAUUUAUUGAAGACUAACUACUGCGAAAGCAUUUGCCAAGGAUGUUUUCAUUAAUCAAGAACGAAAGUUAGGGGAUCGAAGACGAUCAGAUACCGUCGUAGUCUUAACCAUAAACUAUGCCGACUAGGGAUCGGAUGAUGUUAAUUUUUAAUGACUCAUUCGGCGCCUUACG